Triticum dicoccoides is the source of this 5089-nucleotide long non-coding RNA. RefSeq lists it as uncharacterized. The transcript is spliced from 5 exons. NCBI's taxonomy places the organism in Eukaryota, Viridiplantae, Streptophyta, Magnoliopsida, Poales, Poaceae. The record is from RefSeq and is a predicted model, not a curated record.
UCGUAGGGAAGGAAACGAGACGAAGACGUUUCUCCUCUUGUUUUUUUUUGUUGUUGUUUCGUUAAUAACGCAUUUUCACCUGCACAGUAAAAUCUACGUGGACACCACCGGCGCUCGCCCUUACCGCGUACAGUACCUUAUUGUUUUUGAUCGCCAAAAGAAGAAGAAAACGAAAAAAAAGGGAGUGCGGGGAGCGCUUGCCUUUCCCCUUCCCUGCAUUCGCCGUUCUGGCAGCGGCGUGAUUCCACCCUAUUCCGGCGGCGGCCCCGCCGCUUCGGCAACGCCAGGUUCAUAUUUCUCCCCGAUUUACUGGUCUUCACUGUCUAAAUAGGCCGCUGGAUGUUCCAUCCAGAUCCAGGCGCCGCUCGGAUUCCCCUUCAAUCUAUCAACUCCGAUUUGGGAUCGCAGUAGGAGUCCUCCUGUAUAUAGCUCCGGCCGACGCGCGAGAGCAACGCAUCCGAACAAGCCAAGGUGCGGGAUGGGGAGAAAGGCGCCUCCUUUAUCUCCGGCCGGACGGAAGCGCAAAGGUCCAUCGCUCCCCUUUCUCUCCCCCUGCAAACGCCGGUCUACCCCCACUCCGGCGCAGACAGCCACCGGCUGGGCGUCCCUCCCGGACGACAUAGCCCGCCAGGUCGCCGCGCUGGUGCUGAAAUUCGGCGUCGUGGACUACAUUGCCUUCCGCGCCGUCUGCUCCGGAUGGCGCACCUGCGCGCCCACUCCGCGCGACCCCACCCUCCGGAUCCGGUCUCUCCGCCCGGUCGGCUGGGUCACGCUCUGUGACGGCGACGCCGUCCGCCCCGACGACGCCUGCCAGAUAACCUUCUUCCACAGUCAAACGGCGAGGUGCCUCCGCGUCCGCCUGCCCGAGCUCCAGCGCCACAGGAUCAUUGGCUUCACCGAUGGUCUUGUCAUCCUGCUGCACAAGCGAACCACCGCGGUCCGCGUGCUCAACCCCUUCACAGGCGCCGCGGUUGACUUCCCGUCCCUCGUCCCCGUGUACCAGGAGCUGAUCAAGAACCGCAACUGUGUCCUUCACAUGAACGCUGCGGUUUGUAGUAGUGUAUCAUCCACCACCUCCAUUGCCGUCGUGGCCUGGUUCCCUUGGUCAUCUGUGGUGCUCAGUGCCGAUGCAGGCCACCCGAGCUAGGAGGUCAUCCAAACAAACAUGUAUCUGUCCAACACCUUGCCCUUCCAAGGUCAGCUCUACGGCUUCCUGCAGUCUUCAAGGCAGAUUGUGCAAGUCUACCCUCCCAAGCCACCCACCGGUCCUGUUGUUGCUCAUGUUCCACAAAAGUUUGGUAACCCGCUUUUCUGCAAGUAUUAUCUCGUGGAGUCCGAUGGAGACAUGCUACUCGUUGUCAAGUCGCCCAAGUUUGUACACCCCGAUGUAGAGGAGUGGCGACGUUACAUCAUUGCCAUCUUCAAGGUGAAUAUAAGCAUCGUCGGCCACCGGGAACUGAUUCCCGUAACAAGUCUCGGCGACCGGGCAUUGUUCGUCUCCUUGGACAGGUGCUUGUCCGUGUCGUCCAAGAACCUUCCAUCCAUCAGCAGCAACUCGAUUUACCUCACGGUAUCACUCCCGGAUCCGGUCGUCGUGCAUUGUUUGAGCAGCCGAUCGUUCGAGCGGCCAACGGCGUUGUGUCAGGUACAUGACGGAAAGGAGAUGAUCUGCACAUCCGUGCGGCCCUUCACUCUUGCUGAUCAUCUUCUCACCUACUGCAAUCAUCAUGAAUGGUCAAAUGGACUGAUGUUUCAUGAGUACUACUCCAUACCUGAGUCUUUUCAAGGGCUGUGGAAGAAAAUAAGAACCCAGGAUUCCCAACUGAGGAUUUCACGCAUGAGAGAUUGAAUCAGAUGAUAAGUAGGCAUGUGGCACCGAAAAAAUAAUAGUCCCUCUGUAUUGUAGACUACUCUUUGAAAAUGAGAAUAUUAUUUAAUUUCUUUAUUCCUAAUGCUUUCAAUGUAAUCAAUAUGAUGAUGUAACUAGAAUUAAGAAAACCUUCUCUCACUUCUUGAUGAAGUCAGUUUGUUUGUGAAUUAAAAAAUGACCAGCGGUGUCAGUUUAUGUCUACCCAAGAGGAUGAUGAGAAAAUUUGAGCUUUUAGUAUGCUGUUAUGCCAGCUAGGAUCUGCUCGUCCAAGGUGAUAUUGACAUCCCUCUGCUUGGCAGAGUCUGCAGGUUCAUUCAGUGUACUUGCUGCUAAGUUUGAAUCCCAAUACAGCUUGUUAUAGUUUUGUCUUAUCUUAAAGAAGGUCGGGAUUCUACAUUCCUCUGCCUUGAUGAAUAUUGGAAGGAUGUCGCUAAACAACAUCAAGUAGACCACCAGCAGCAAGGCAAGCUUGUGAGGAGCAGUACGUACGUUCUGCCGUUAUGAAUGUCCAGCGAUGAUUCAAUUGCUGAGGAGGGUUGACAACAGAUGGGCACAGUUCUGAGGACAGACGAACUUCCCAGCACUGAACCUCCAGGAGAAUCUUAAUUGGCCCUCAUGAAGAUGUUAUGGAUGGACCUGGCCACCUGGGAGACCCAGACCUAUGGCAGCCGCCUGAUGCUCUGAUAAACUCUAGCCAUGCCCCCUUGGGCUACCAGGUCGUGCUGCAACGCCGAUCGUUUGGUAUUGACGAUUCAUUCGGCAACGAUGAGUGCUCGAGUGCUUCAGGGAGGUGAGCAAGGUCGGUUCCUCAAGACUCUAGCCAGGUAGGUCUGACCGUCUAGUGACUCGGCCCAGAUUCUAGAAGGUUAUAACUGCUGAGGCGGUUUGACCAAGAGUAGGAGACUCAACAGAGUAGUGUCUCUGGAAGAUUGAGGAGAACCAAGGAGCGUGCCGAUUCUCUACCAGAUCAGAGAACCAGGGAGCGUGCCGAUUCUCGAUCAGAUCACCGAGCAUGGCGACGGCCUUGCGCCAGAUCCAACACGGGUGCCAGCAUGGUGACCAACGGAGGGAGACACAGGCGCCAGAUCUUGGCCGCCUCCUCGGCGUGGUCGCCCAACCGGCCAUGGGCUCCUCCGCGCACACGUGGACCUCCUUGGACACUCGUCUGCCACGCGCGAGCUCCUCGAGCUGCUGCUCGACACUUCCCACGUCGUCUCCAAGGUUCUGAUCUCAGACUUGCUCCCGCUUGAACAGAGCCAAUGUGGCUAAUUCGUUCCUCUCUACUUCACUUUACACUGGUGGUGGAUCCGAGUGCAUAACUAGUAGAUUAUCUGCCAUCUUGAGUUAUCCCUGUAUACAGUUCCAUCUCAUUCACCUCACUACAGUUUUAGCACCUAGUAAAUGAUCACAUGUCCUUGCAUUUAUCAUCGGAAUUGUGACAUAUCAUGAUGUUAGAAUAAAUGUUUUUAGCUAGUCUGAUAAUACAUGUUUACCAAUUUGUACCUGCCGUCGUUUCAUUUUUAGCUAGAGAUUUUGCCCAUUGUUUCUGAAUUUUAAAUGCCAAAGUAACUAGUUCACUAAAACUGCUUGAUCGGACUGCAUAACUAAAUUACUGACUAAAUGGUGAUAUGUCACUGCAAACUAAAUUACUGGAUCUUUUCCUUACUUUUCAUGAUUUAUCAUCCAGAGGCUCACCUUUUGUUUUCUUCCAUGUCCUUGUGCAAUAAGGUAUUCAACAUGGCUUUCUUUUGGUCUGGCUAUGCAUAAAGCUUCUGGAGCUCCGGUUCUCCUGCAGAUUCUGAGUGGAACUCUCUGUACCUGUACGGGUGAAGGGCGACCUCCCGCUGGCAGAGCCCGGGCAGAUUAGUGCGUGCAGAGAGGAAGGUAGUGAGUAUCCUGUCGGAGAUUACGAGUGCUCAAACUGAUGCAGAACAACCACAAGGCUGCGAGGCGCUGGAAGACUUGCCUGGGCGUGAGUCAUCUAUGAAUGGCUUCAAUACCAGUGAGGCUGUGGAGGUAUGGAUGAAAGCUUCGGCGAAGACAAAGUCUGUGGUACGGCUGGUGUGGUUGUAUCAAAAAGGGGUAUUUUUGGCUGGACGAAAAGCCUUUUUGUCAGGGUGAACAAUCAUUCCCAGGGCACAAUCUUCAGUGGUGUGGUGAUGAGCAAUGAGAAGAUCAGGCCACGUAUUGUAUUGUUUUUCCUUGGUGCAAGUAGCUAACCUGUACUUCAAACCACACGGGUGAUGGUGCAUGUCCGUCUAACACAAAUACCACCAAAGCACAUUAUAAAAUGCUGGACACGAGAUGCAGGGGAUAUUUUGCCUCGCUGGGUUGUUGCGGUACCAAAAGGACAGUGGCAAACCAAAAGCAAUAACAUACAUGCAUUCUAGGUUGUACAAGCAAGACUGAGCAUUGUGCAAUUGGGUGACACAAACGUCGAGAGUUGCAGCGUAGCAAUGAAGAAAGUUCUUGAGAUUGUGCCGACAAUCAAGACAACCAGCAAAGGUCAGGGAUGGGACGGGCUUGGAGGACGGAGAUAGAGAGCCGCACUUUCAGGGCCUCCUGAUGCUACAAUGCCACUGGAUGUUGUGACAGCAAUUGUCACAAGACAUAGAAAGGCCUGAUCCAGUUGGGUUUCAAGAUCUAGCCAAGAAGAGGACAGUGCGUAGGCUGACUAUAGGCCGUGACAAGCCUCCGUUUGAGCAGCCAAAAGGUCAAGGUUAUGUUCUACUCCCUCCGUUCCUAAAUAUAAGUCUUUGUAGAGAUUCCACUAUGAACCACAUACGGAUGUAUCUAGAAUUCUAGAUGCAUUUUAAGUGUAGAUUCAUUCAAUUUGCUCCGUAUGUAGUCCAUCUAGUGAAAUCACUAGAAAGACUUAUAUUUCGGAACGGAGGGAGUAUACAACGUGCCCAGACAGGGGAAAUGCUCCAAGGAAAUCUCUGCAGUACUUGUUUUGUGGAUUGACAUGUCAUACAAAGAAUAGCUGUGAAAAACUGUUGGUGGAGAAUGAGGAGUUGAGGAUCGGAGGUGGCUUUUCCACUUCUGAAACAUCAAACUGUUGGUUUAUGUGUUAUGUUUGCAGUCGCUGUUUGCACGCAAAAUGCUGUCAACUUGGCUGCGGUUUAUUUUGGAGAAAAGGAGCGCCAGGCUCCUAAUCUCAUUUUCAUGAAACUGAUAACACAAACAGGUGUUGAGUGAAGAGGUUGUUACAUUUGGCUC